GAUGAAGAACGUAGCGAAAUGCGAUACUUGGUGUGAAUUGCAGAAUCCCGUGAACCAUCGAGUCUUUGAACGCAAGUUGCGCCCGUAGCCAUUAGGCCGAGGGCACGCCUGCCUGGGCGUCACACGUCGUUGCCCCCCCAUCUACUCCUUCGGGAUUGCGGGGGGCGGAUGAUGGCCUCCCGUGCGCCUCGUCGCGCGGUUGGCAUAAAUGCCAAGUCCUCGGCGACGCACGCCACGACAAUCGGUGGUUGCGAAACCUCGGUUGCCCGUCGUGUGCGGUCGUCGCGCAUCGAGGGCUCGAAAAAAUUGCCGGGCUCCGGCUCGGCUUUCAACGCGACCCCAGGUCAGGCGGGGUUACCCGCUGAAUUUAAGCAUAUCAAUAAGCGGAGGA
This 391-nucleotide unclassified non-coding RNA is filed under the name soil metagenome. RNAcentral describes it as "partial contains 5.8S ribosomal RNA, internal transcribed spacer 2, and large subunit ribosomal RNA". The stretch from base 1 to 122 matches the Rfam family "5.8S ribosomal RNA", at positions 35 to 154 of the family's 154-position model. The record is from RNAcentral.